Molecule: ribosomal RNA, 253 nt
Filed under: uncultured bacterium
Lineage: Bacteria
Description: partial 16S ribosomal RNA
Rfam family: Bacterial small subunit ribosomal RNA
Source: RNAcentral
UACGUAGGUGGCAAGCGUUGUCCGGAUUUACUGGGCGUAAAGAGCGCGCAGGCGGUCGUGCAAGUCGAGUGUGAAAGCCCCCGGCUCAACUGGGGAGGGUCACUCGAUACUGAUCGACUUGAAGGCGGGAGAGGGAAGCGGAAUUCCCGGUGUAGUGGUGAAAUGCGUAGAUAUCAUGAGGAAUACCAGAGGCGAAGGCGGCUACCUGGACAAUUGCUGACGCUCAGGCACGAAAGCGUGGGGAGCAAAAGGG